CCUACGGGGUGCAGCAGUGGGGAAUAUUGCACAAUGGGGGAUACCCUGAUGCAGCAACGCAGCGUGAAUGAUGACUGCCCUCUGGUUUUAAAGCUUUGUCUUCAGGGGCGUUAAUGACGGUAUCUGUAGUGGAAGCCACGGCUAACUUGGUGACAGCAGCCGCGGUAAUACGUAGGUGGCGAGCGUUGUCCGGAUUUACUGGGCGUAAAGGGAGCGUAGGCGGACUGUUAAGUGAGAUGUGAAGUACUCGGGCUCAACUUGAGUGUUGCAUUUCAAACUGGAAGUUUACAGUUCAGGAGAGGAGAAUGGAAUUCCUGGUGUAGCGGUGAAAUGCGUAGAGAUUAGGAAGAACACCAAUGGCGAAGGCGAUUCUCUGGACUGUAACUGACGCUGAGGCUCGAAAGUGUGGGGAGCAAACAGGAUUAGAUACCCCAGUAGUC
This 440-nucleotide ribosomal RNA is filed under the name uncultured bacterium. RNAcentral's name for it is "partial 16S ribosomal RNA". It matches the Rfam family "Bacterial small subunit ribosomal RNA", at positions 338 to 795 of the family's 1533-position model. The record is from RNAcentral.